This is a long non-coding RNA of Cyprinus carpio (common carp), 209 nucleotides long. RefSeq lists it as uncharacterized. Lineage: Eukaryota; Metazoa; Chordata; Actinopteri; Cypriniformes; Cyprinidae. The transcript is spliced from 3 exons. The record is from RefSeq and is a predicted model, not a curated record.
CGCGCGUGUAAGAGCGAUUUCAAAUACAAAGAAGGUAACGGCUCUUUCCUCAAAGAAACAACCGCUGCGCAAGAACAUCCAGUAUACAUGCGUUCUCUUAAAAUAUCAGAGGGUUCACAGAGCAGCACUAUCAUCUGAAGAUCAGCAUGACUGUCACUAACAGAUAUGGACAAGCUGCCAGCACAGAACUGAGUAUGCUGAGGACAGAG